RNAcentral lists this ribosomal RNA (431 nucleotides) under uncultured bacterium. Its description in RNAcentral is "partial 16S ribosomal RNA". It matches the Rfam family "Bacterial small subunit ribosomal RNA", at positions 29 to 507 of the family's 1533-position model. The record is from RNAcentral.
AACGAACGCUGGCGGCAGGCUUAACACAUGCAAGUCGAGCGCCCCGCCAGGGGAGUGGCAGACGGGUGAGUAACGCGUGGGGACGUACCCUUAUCUUCGGGAUAGCCCUGGGAAACUGGAAUUAAUACCGAAUGUGCCCUUUGGGGGCAAGAUUUAUCGGGUAAGGAUCGGCCCGCGUUGGAUUAGCUGGUUGGUGGGGUAAAGGCCUACCAAGGCGACGAUCCAUAGCUGGUCUGAGAGGAUGAUCAGCCACAUUGGGACUGAGACACAGCCCAAACUCCUACGCGAGGCAGCAGAGGGGAAUAUUGGACAAUGGGCGCAAGCCUGAUCCAGCCAUGCCGGGUGAGUGAUGAAGGCCUUAGGGUUGUAAAGCUCUUUCACCGGAGAAGAUAAUGACGGUAUCCGGUGAAGAAGCCCCGGCUAACUUCGUG